This 453-nucleotide ribosomal RNA is filed under the name uncultured Prevotella sp. RNAcentral's name for it is "partial 16S ribosomal RNA". It matches the Rfam family "Bacterial small subunit ribosomal RNA", at positions 341 to 792 of the family's 1533-position model. The record is from RNAcentral. Lineage: Bacteria; Pseudomonadati; Bacteroidota; Bacteroidia; Bacteroidales; Prevotellaceae.
ACGGGAGGCAGCAGUGAGGAAUAUUGGUCAAUGGGCGAGAGCCUGAACCAGCCAAGUAGCGUGAAGGAUGACUGCCCUACGGGUUGUAAACUUCUUUUAUACGGGAAUAAAAAAGGCCACGUGUGGCCUCUUGUAUGUACCGUAUGAAUAAGCAUCGGCUAAUUCCGUGCCAGCAGCCGCGGUAAUACGGAAGAUGCGAGCGUUAUCCGGAUUUAUUGGGUUUAAAGGGAGCGUAGGCGGGCUUUUAAGUCAGUGGUAAAAGCGUGUGGCUCAACCAUACCACGCCAUUGAAACUGGAGGCCUUGAGUGCACACAGGGAUGCUGGAAUUCGUCGUGUAGCGGUGAAAUGCUUAGAUAUGACGAAGAACUCCGAUCGCGAAGGCAGGUGUCCGGGGUGUAACUGACGCUGAGGCUCGAAAGUGCGGGUAUCAAACAGGAUUAGAUACCCUGGUA